This 689-nucleotide ribosomal RNA is filed under the name uncultured Alphaproteobacteria bacterium. RNAcentral describes it as "bacterial SSU rRNA". It matches the Rfam family "Bacterial small subunit ribosomal RNA", at positions 44 to 781 of the family's 1533-position model. The record is from RNAcentral. Lineage: Bacteria; Pseudomonadati; Pseudomonadota; Alphaproteobacteria.
AGGCCUAAUACAUGCAAGUCGAGCGCACCUUCGGGUGAGCGGCGGACGGGUGAGUAACGCGUGGGAACGUGCCCUUUGGUUCGGAACAACACAGGGAAACUUGUGCUAAUACCGAAUGUGCCCUUCGGGGGAAAGAUUUAUCGCCAUUGGAGCGGCCCGCGUUGGAUUAGCUAGUUGGUGGGGUAAAGGCCCACCAAGGCGACGAUCCAUAGCUGGUCUGAGAGGAUGAUCAGCCACACUGGGACUGAGACACGGCCCAGACUCCUACGGGAGGCAGCAGUAGGGAAUCUUGCGCAAUGGGCGAAAGCCUGACGCAGCCAUGCCGCGUGAAUGAUGAAGGUCUUAGGAUUGUAAAAUUCUUUCACCGGGGAAGAUAAUGACGGUACCCGGAGAAGAAGCCCCGGCUAACUUCGUGCCAGCAGCCGCGGUAAUACGAAGGGGGCUAGCGUUGCUCGGAAUUACUGGGCGUAAAGGGCGCGUAGGCGGACAGUUUAGUCAGAGGUGAAAGCCCAGGGCUCAACCUUGGAACUGCCUUUGAUACUGGCUGUCUUGAGUUCGGGAGAGGUGAGUGGAAUGCCGAGUGUAGAGGUGAAAUUCGUAGAUAUUCGGCGGAACACCAGUGGCGAAGGCGACUCACUGGCCCGAUACUGACGCUGAGGCGCGAAAGCGUGGGGAGCAAACAGGAUUAG